CCUACGGGUGGCAGCAGUGGGGAAUAUUGCACAAUGGGCGCAAGCCUGAUGCAGCCAUGCCGCGUGUGUGAAGAAGGCCUUCGGGUUGUAAAGCACUUUCAGCGGGGAGGAAGGCGUUAAGGUUAGUAACCUUGGCGAUUGACGUUACCCGCAGAAGAAGCACCGGCUAACUCCGUGCCAGCAGCCGCGGUAAUACGGAGGGUGCAAGCGUUAAUCGGAAUUACUGGGCGUAAAGCGCACGCAGGCGGUCUGUCAAGUCGGAUGUGAAAUCCCCGGGCUCAACCUGGGAACUGCAUUCGAAACUGGCAGGCUAGAGUCUUGUAGAGGGGGGUAGAAUUCCAGGUGUAGCGGUGAAAUGCGUAGAGAUCUGGAGGAAUACCGGUGGCGAAGGCGGCCCCCUGGACAAAGACUGACGCUCAGGUGCGAAAGCGUGGGGAGCAAACAGGAUUAGAUACCCUAGUAGUC
Molecule: ribosomal RNA, 465 nt
Filed under: uncultured Klebsiella sp.
Lineage: Bacteria; Pseudomonadati; Pseudomonadota; Gammaproteobacteria; Enterobacterales; Enterobacteriaceae
Description: bacterial SSU rRNA
Rfam family: Bacterial small subunit ribosomal RNA
Source: RNAcentral